RNAcentral lists this transfer RNA (73 nucleotides) under Stegodyphus mimosarum. It matches the Rfam family "tRNA". Rfam says of the family: Transfer RNA (tRNA) molecules are approximately 80 nucleotides in length. Their secondary structure includes four short double-helical elements and three loops (D, anti-codon, and T loops). Further hydrogen bonds mediate the characteristic L-shaped molecular structure. tRNAs have two regions of fundamental functional importance: the anti-codon, which is responsible for specific mRNA codon recognition, and the 3' end, to which the tRNAs corresponding amino acid is attached (by aminoacyl-tRNA synthetases). tRNAs cope with the degeneracy of the genetic code in two manners: having more than one tRNA (with a specific anti-codon) for a particular amino acid; and 'wobble' base-pairing, i.e. permitting non-standard base-pairing at the 3rd anti-codon position. Lineage: Eukaryota; Metazoa; Arthropoda; Arachnida; Araneae; Eresidae. The record is from Rfam by way of RNAcentral.
GUCUUCGUGGUGAAGUGGUCAGCGCGCUCGGCUCGUAUUCGAGAGGUCCGUGGUUCAAGUCCCGGCGAGGGCA